RNAcentral lists this long non-coding RNA (1989 nucleotides) under Daphnia magna. RNAcentral describes it as "uncharacterized LOC116929216, transcript variant X7". Lineage: Eukaryota; Metazoa; Arthropoda; Branchiopoda; Diplostraca; Daphniidae. The record is from RNAcentral.
CAAAAAGUCCGAAACGGCCAAGUUCAUCACAAGCAUAUUUGCCGGUGUUCUGAGCGACGGGAAGCUUCCCAAAAUUCUCAACACCAUCCAGUUGCCACUGAUGGCCACAACACCUUUAUCGUCAAAUGAAACAAGUUGUGAAGAUGAUGGGCUGAGAAGUGUGAAUGUCUUCACCUUUCGGUGCGGAUUCUCUUGCAUUCCCGCCCUAAAUUUAAUUAGCAAUGAUUAAGGUGUUUUCGGCUACUCCAUGGUAAAAGUAAAUGACCUUUUUGAAAUUGGAUUAUUUUUACCAUUGCUGAUGUUUUUUUAUUUGAGGCAAAUCGGCUUAGACAAGUCAUUUGGUCAGCUGAACUUCAGCUGCCGUUAAAGAUGACAGACUUGCAUUCACCUGCCACUCUCUAACCUUUCGUAAUGGGAUCUUGUAUACAUGUCUUUUAUUAUUCAUUAUCCUUUGCAUUUCCUUGUGUAGGCCUCGUACUGAUUGAACUCCAAGAGUUUUCUUUGCUUCGUCUUGACAUCUCCUAAGCGCCUGCAAGUACAGGUUCACUGCGGGUGGGGGAUCAAUGGCAUCAAAUUAGAAUAGACUUUUGCCCUAUAGAACGACUGUUGCGACUGUGCACUACAAAUAAGGUUAGUAAUAACAUGUCCGCAUUGGGGCUUGAGCAUCACUUUUUUAUAAAGUGGGCAGUUCCCCGUUCGACAGUUUCCAGUUGCCGCUCAUCUGCGUGGAGGGGCAUUGAUGCUCGGUGCCCUCUCAGUAACGUUUACCCUAGACAUACUGUACAUUGGCAAACAGUGUGUUUGCGCACAGUGUAGCGAAGAGUUAUUAUUUUUGGAACAGCAUGGCGUAUGCGAUGGGAAAUUGAUCAAAAAAAGAUUGGUAUCAUGGUGGGCUAUACAAUUUUCCAGUCUGGUAGCUUCGCUUCGAUACGAUUCAUCUUUAACCAUUGCUUACACAUUUGAUUGUUGAUUGUUUGUUUUUGUUGUUGUUCAAGAACUUGGGAGUUUUGUUUACUUAGAUCUACCUGAAUUGGGAACGAGCUUGAGCUUUCAAAACUUCUUUUAAAGAUCAUUGUUUUUUUUUAAUUUCAUAGCUGUAUUAGACUACUGAUGUUUUAUGUCGUGUUUAUCCUUGUUCUAUACCAGCCCACUUGUACCACUGACAAGAUGAUGAUCAAGAAUGGCUUGUUGCAGGAAAUGUGCGUUGUCUGUCACAUUACUGGUACGUGCAUUAUUAAUGAGCGCGGAUGAGGUGAACAGUUUUUGCCAGACAAUCUGAACAGAACUCCAGGCUGCUUGCUCGAGUUCUUUUUAAAAUUUUAUUAGAUCGCCUGCUGCAAACUGGUUUUAAUCAAAUCACAGUUUAGCAAUAGGUACAAUUCCAACCGCAUCAGAGCCUUUGAUUUUCUCAGCUGAACAAAACUGCCUAAUACAGGUCUUAUGUAUUCUGAGCUGUGGUUUGCCAUCACAUAAUGAGCACUUAAAAGAUGAUCAUACAAAAAUCAGCUACUGAGGCCAUCUAUGUCAGGAAGUUGUCGUGCUUUUCAGCAUUUCAACUGGCAAAAAUGAUCCUGCUUGCACAUCAUUGCAAACGUGCAACUGAAUGAACUCAACUCUGGAAUGACAGGUACCGAGAUUUUAAACAAUAUUAUAUCACAUCAACUUGACUUUUGUUAGAACGAGGAGAUGGAAGAAGAAAAAUGGCGUUUUCAAUGCUUAGGUUGAAAUGUAUUGGAGUCUUUUCUGCUGACAUUCAUACAUGUGGUAAGUAUAGACACAUAGAAAGUGUGAUUACCAUAGCACACUAAGAGGUGAAGAUUGAUAUUUUUGGUAGAUUAUAAGUAAGGGAAGUUGUAAACCAGCCCUGUAUCUUCGGAUAUCUUACGUAUGCAUCCAUAUGUAGGCUGAAGAUUUUUAUUAACCUACCAUGAGGUUGAUUUUAGCAUCAAUCAAUAGAUUUGAAGCUGGUUAUUAGGUUUGCACUUAAAA